CCCCCCCCCAGGUCCAGAUCACGCUACGCCCCUGUACUUUAUGAUAUUUUAGUUGUUUUAUGGCUUUCAUUAUUGCAUCUGCACAGAAUCUUUCGUUAAUAAUACUGUCAUUGUUUACUUCAUAUAGUACUUCAUCCAUGUUAAAAUCAAAUACGUUAUCAUUAUUUGGUUCGCCCUUAUUUAAGUCGCUGAAAUAGUUGAAAAAUGUAUCAAUAGGAGGAACGUUAACGUUGUUAUCUAAGUUAUCUUGUUUCUUAAGUAUUUUAUAAAAGGCUUUGGGAUCAUCUAACCGUAACCGUCUCAAUUUAAUUUCUGUUUUAAAUUUAUGUUGUGCAAAAGCUUUAAGUAUACUCUUUUUAUAAGACUUACUGGCGUUAAUUAAUCUCAUUUUAUUAUCUGUAGUUUUAUUUCUAGCGUAUAUUGUUUUGGCCUCGAGAUACUUCGUACGUAAAUGUUUGUGUCUUAGCCCGAACCAGGGUCGCUUGUUGUGCGCUGACCUUUUGUUACAGCUGUCACUGUAUACACGCACGUGACCGAAUGUCGAGGCUGCCGUGUCUAAAAAUAGAUCUUUUAACAUAUCGGUGGCUUUUGUGACACGUGCUUUUGUAUUAGUAGACUCGUCGUCAAGAAUUAGAGAAAUGCUUUCGAUUAUGUUGUCGAUAUUAUUUAUAAAGUCUUCACGUUUACUAGGAACCCAUUUUGCAUGCUAUUUCCCUUCUUACACCGUUACUAUGAUCUACAUGAUUGUAUGCGUCAGUAUAAUUACAUUUACACGAAUAUGUAACAUUGUAAGUAUUAGAGCACAAUGGCUAUCAGAAAGAAAUGGGUCAAAAUCACAUAUUUGAAAAUCAGUUACAUUUUUAAAAACAUGGUGAGUACCUAUAGCAUAAUCAAUCAGGCUGCAGUCUUUACUUGUGACUUUACCAAUAAAUUUAUCAGUCCCACAUCUACCGUUGAGAAUAUAUAUAUUAUGUAACUUGCAUAGAUCUAAAAGUUUCACUCCAUGCCAGUUAACCCUUCCUAUGUCUUGACUUGCCCUAUCUCUGGGAAUACUGAGAUUGUCAAGAUUUGUUAUAUCAUUCAUAAAAUUAUUCAUGUCAACAUCAUCAGUGUAAACAUCAUCAACUGUAGUAUAAUCCAGAGAACAUUUAGUUCUGGCAUUAAAGUCACCUAGCAGGAGCAGUGGUUUUCCUGAUUCUACAUUUUGAAAUAUUUGAUUUUCGAUAAUAUUAAAAGUGUCAUCUUUAUAAUAUGGUGAGCCAGUAGGUGAAAUAUAUACAAUGCCAACCAUUAAACAAUUAUCUUCAUAUCCUACCUGUGGGAAGUGCAAAUAAAAGAUCCCUUGCUGCCUGUCGUAAAAAAGAGUAGCCUAUGUGGCGACAGCGGGUUUCCUCUAAAAACAGUGUCAGAAUGACCAUAUGUUUGACGUCCAAUAGCCGAUGAUAAGAUUAAAAAUCAAUGUGCUCUAGUGGCGUCGUUAAAUAAAACAAACUUUACUUUACUUUCUUGGUUUGAGUGCCUGUGAUACUAAGCCAAGAGAUAUAUUGGGACCGAUUUCUUUCACCGACUUUAACAAUAUCAGCUAAUUCAUGUUUAACACUAAUGACAAUGCCGCCGGAGGGUCUGAUACCUUUUCUCUUGUUGAAAUAAGUUGUGUAUCCUGGGUAACUGUUGAAUUGUUAUAUUGAUGAUGCUCAUCACACUGUUGUUUCAUUUUACCAUAGUUUGACACCCAAUAGCCGAUGUAUUUUUCAUGCUGGGGUGUCGUUAAACAUUCAUUCAUUCAUUUAUUCAUUCAUGUAUCCUGGGAUAAGAUCUGGUUUACAGUCUGUUUCAUCAGUUUUGCUUUCUUGAAAACACAGUAUUUUGAUAUUAAUAAUGAGAAAUCAGGUGUAAUUAGUUUACUUUUUAAACCACAGACAUUCAAACUAAGUAUUCGCAACUUGGUAUAGUCAUUGUUUAUAUCAGUGUAUGCUAUUUCAUUAUUAACUGAAUAAUUAGCUUCUAUCAUGUUGCUUUGAUUGUUAACAUAUGGCUGGUUAGAUAAAAAUAUGUUUGGGUUGUCAUGAUGCCUGUUUGGUGAAAUAUGAUCAGAUAAAAUACUGUUCAGGUUAACAUGGGACUGUUUAGUUAACUUGUUUUCAGAUGUGUGUUUGUUAUGGUUGUCGAUGUUGUUGGUUACUGUAUUAUUCAGGGUGUUCAGGGUGGUCAUCUGGGCUUGAUGAGGGGUCAUAGUUUGUGCAACGUGAUGGAAACUAUGGUAUGCAUCAGCAUGUACAACAUUUUGUGAACUUGUCACAGGCAAGGCAUUAAAAGUAUUAUUAACUAUUGGCUCACAAUAUGCAUUCAUAUCUGUAUGCACAAGGGUUUGUGAACUUGUCACAGGCAAGGCAUUAAUAGUAUUAUUAACUAUUGGCUCACAAUAUGCAUUCAUAUCUGUAUGUACAAGGGUUUGUGAACUUGUCACAGGCAAUGCAUUAAAAGUAUUAUUAACUAUUGGCUAACUAUAUGCAUUCAUAUCUGUAUGUACAAGGGUUUGUGAACUUGUCACAGGCAAGGCAUUAAAAGUAUUAUUAACUAUUGGCUCACAAUAUGCAUUCAUACCUGUAUGUACAAGGGUUUGUGAACUUGUCACAGGCAAGGUAUUAAAAGUAUUAUUAACUAUUAGCUCACAAUAUGCAUUCAUAUCUGUAUGUACAAGGGUUUGUGAACUUGUCACAGGCAAGGCAUUAAAAGUAUUAUUAACUAUUGGCUCACAAUAUGCAUUCAUAUCUGUAUGUACAAGGGUUUGUGAACUUGUCACAGGCAAGGCAUUAAAAGUAUUAUUAACUAUUAGCUCACUAUAUGCAUUCAUAUCUGUAUGUACAAGGGUUUGUGAACUUGUCACAGGUAAGGUAUUAAAAGUAUCAUUAACUAUUGGCUCAUUGCAAACACUCAUAUUUGUAUGUACAUCAGUUUGUGAACUUGUCACAGGUAUGGCAUUAAACAUGUUAUUAACUAUUAACUCAGCAUGCACAAUCAUGUCUGGAUCACUAUGAUUAUAACGAGGGUAAGUGGGAUGAACAUCAUAAUAUGCAGGGUCAUUAUAUACAAAGUAUGGUGACCUACCCAUGGCAAUACUAGGUACUGGCAUGUUAGUAUUAUUUUCUGUCUCCUGAUAUUGACAGC
Molecule: long non-coding RNA, 3168 nt
Organism: Gigantopelta aegis
Lineage: Eukaryota; Metazoa; Mollusca; Gastropoda; Neomphalida; Peltospiridae
Exons: 2
Source: RefSeq, a predicted model, not a curated record